Molecule: ribosomal RNA, 489 nt
Filed under: Triticum aestivum (bread wheat)
Lineage: Eukaryota; Viridiplantae; Streptophyta; Magnoliopsida; Poales; Poaceae
Description: partial small subunit ribosomal RNA
Source: RNAcentral
AUGGCUUCCGCCGUCGCUUGCAAGGCCGCCGCGCCGGCCGGCCUCCUCAAGUCCGGUGCUCCCGUGGCCUUCUGCGCGCCCCACUCCCCCGCCGUCAACGCCGCCCGCCGCCCGUACAACACCCAGGUCAAGGAGGUCAACCGCUACGACGACGACGACGACGACUACAGCGGCCGCGACCUCGUCAUCCCCAGCUUCUUCUCGCAGGACGUGCUCGACCCGCUCGGCGCGCCGACCAGCAUGGCCCGUCUGCUGUCUAUGAUGGAGGACGUUGCAACUCAGACCGGCCUCUCCUCCACUGCCGGGGCGUCGCGGCUCGGACGCUGGGUGGCCAAGGAGGACGACGACGCGGUGUACCUCAAGGUGCCGAUGCCCGGGCUGACCAAGGAGCACGUGACGGUGCGCGCGGACAAGAACAUCCUGGUGAUCAAGGGCGAGGGCGAGAAGCAGCCCUGGGACGGCGACGACGACUCCGCGGUGCCGAGGUAG